Molecule: ribosomal RNA, 380 nt
Filed under: uncultured eukaryote
Lineage: Eukaryota
Description: partial 18S ribosomal RNA
Rfam family: Eukaryotic small subunit ribosomal RNA
Source: RNAcentral
CAAUAGCGUAUAUUAAAGUUGUUGCGGUUAAAAAGCUCGUAGUUGGAGUUCUGCCAGGUGCCGCCUGUCCGCCCCAGUGGUGAGUACGUGGCGCGCAUUUGGCCCUUUCAAGGGGAGCGUAUCUGCACUUUAUCGUGUGGUGCGGGAUCCUUGACUUUUACUUUGAGGAAAUAGGAGUGUUCCAAGCAGGCUCUCGUCGUGCACAGCUCAGCAUGGAAUAAUAGCAUUGGACCUCGAUUCUAAGCUGUUGGUUGCCAGAAGCGAGGUAAUGAUGAAGAGGGAUAGUUGGGGGCAUUCGUAUUUAACUGUCAGAGGUGAAAUUCUUGGAUUCGUUAAAGACGGACUACUGCGAAAGCAUCUGCCAUGGAUGUUUUCAUUGA